UUUUAUGAGAGUUUGAUCCUGGCUCAGGACGAACGCUGGCGGCGUGCCUAAUACAUGCAAGUCGAACGCUUCUUUUUCCACCGGAGCUUGCUCCACCGGAAAAAGAGGAGUGGCGAACGGGUGAGUAACACGUGGGUAACCUGCCCAUCAGAAGGGGAUAACACUUGGAAACAGGUGCUAAUACCGUAUAACAAUCAAAACCGCAUGGUUUUGAUUUGAAAGGCGCUUUCGGGUGUCGCUGAUGGAUGGACCCGCGGUGCAUUAGCUAGUUGGUGAGGUAACGGCUCACCAAGGCCACGAUGCAUAGCCGACCUGAGAGGGUGAUCGGCCACAUUGGGACUGAGACACGGCCCAAACUCCUACGGGAGGCAGCAGUAGGGAAUCUUCGGCAAUGGACGAAAGUCUGACCGAGCAACGCCGCGUGAGUGAAGAAGGUUUUCGGAUCGUAAAACUCUGUUGUUAGAGAAGAACAAGGAUGAGAGUAACUGUUCAUCCCUUGACGGUAUCUAACCAGAAAGCCACGGCUAACUACGUGC
Molecule: ribosomal RNA, 536 nt
Filed under: Enterococcus sp. HMSC065H12
Lineage: Bacteria; Bacillati; Bacillota; Bacilli; Lactobacillales; Enterococcaceae
Description: bacterial SSU rRNA
Rfam family: Bacterial small subunit ribosomal RNA
Source: RNAcentral